CCUACGGGGGGCAGCAGUAGGGAAUUUUCGGCAAUGGGGGGAACCCUGACCGAGCAACGCCGCGUGAACGAAGAAGUUAUUCGUAAUGUAAAGUUCUUUUAACAGGGAAGAAAGAGAAAUUUGACGGUACCUGAAGAAUAAGCCCCGGCAAACUACGUGCAAGCAGCCGCGGUAAUACGUAGGGAGCGAGCGUUAUCGGAAAUUAUUGGGCGAAAGGGGUGCGUAGAUGGCAUAGUAAGUCUGUUGUAAAAAUGCUGGGCCAAACCCAGUAGGGCAAAAGAAACUGGAAGGCUAGAGUAUGGCAGAGGCAGGUGGAACUACUGGUGUAGCGGUGAAAUGCGUAGAUAUAAGGAAGAACACCAGUGGCGAAGGCGGCUUGCUGGAUCGAAACUGACAUUGAGGCACGAAAGCGUGGGGAGCAAACAGGAUUAGAUACCCUUGUAGUC
This 446-nucleotide ribosomal RNA is filed under the name uncultured bacterium. RNAcentral describes it as "partial 16S ribosomal RNA". It matches the Rfam family "Bacterial small subunit ribosomal RNA", at positions 338 to 795 of the family's 1533-position model. The record is from RNAcentral.